AAAAUAUCUAUCAACAGAAAAAUAAGAGUCUGCAUUUUUAUCUGAAAAAUGCAGAGGAGAUCCAAAAUGGGAUUGUUGAUGAGAAAUUUUCUAGUUUUAUUUUGUUGGAUGAUUUUAGCUGUAAAUGCAGAAGAAUACGUUACAUAUAAAGAUCCAAACAAGCCCUUAAACAGAAGAAUCAAAGAUUUAAUGAAAAGAAUGAGUUUGGAGGAAAAAAUUGGGCAAAUGAUACAAAUUGAUCGUACUGCUGCAACUCCAGAGGUUAUGAACAAGUACUACCUAGGGAGUGUGUUGAGUGGUGGAGGAAGUGUGCCAAAGAAAGAAGCAUCAGCAGAAGAUUGGAUUGAUAUGAUAAAUGGUUUUCAAAAAGGUUCAUUAUCAACUAGACUUGGGAUACCUAUGAUUUAUGGAAUUGAUGCUGUUCAUGGCAACAAUAAUGUCUAUAAAGCUACAAUUUUUCCUCAUAAUGUUGCUCUUGGAGUAACAAGGGAUCCUCAAUUGGUGAAGAAGAUUGGAUCUGCAACUGCAUUAGAAGCUAGAGCUACUGGAAUUCCAUAUGUUUUUGCUCCUUGUCUUGCGGUUUGUAGAGAUCCAAGAUGG
Molecule: unclassified non-coding RNA, 600 nt
Filed under: Hevea brasiliensis (rubber tree)
Lineage: Eukaryota; Viridiplantae; Streptophyta; Magnoliopsida; Malpighiales; Euphorbiaceae
Source: RNAcentral